GGGUUUCCGCCCUUCAGUGCUGCAGCAAACGCAUUAAGCACUCCGCCUGGGGAGUACGACCGCAAGGUUGAAACUCAAAGGAAUUGACGGGGGCCCGCACAAGCGGUGGAGCAUGUGGUUUAAUUCGAAGCAACGCGAAGAACCUUACCAGGUCUUGACAUCCUUUGACCACUCUAGAGAUAGAGCUUUCCCUUCGGGGACAAAGUGACAGGUGGUGCAUGGUUGUCGUCAGCUCGUGUCGUGAGAUGUUGGGUUAAGUCCCGCAACGAGCGCAACCCUUAUUGUUAGUUGCCAUCAUUCAGUUGGGCACUCUAGCGAGACUGCCGGUGACAAACCGGAGGAAGGUGGGGAUGACGUCAAAUCAUCAUGCCCCUUAUGACCUGGGCUACACACGUGCUACAAUGGGAAGUACAACGAGUCGCUAGACCGCGAGGUCAUGCAAAUCUCUUAAAGCUUCUCUCAGUUCGGAUUGCAGGCUGCAACUCGCCUGCAUGAAGCCGGAAUCGCUAGUAAUCGCGGAUCAGCACGCCGCGGUGAAUACGUUCCCGGGCCUUGUACACACCGCCCGUCACACCACGAGAGUUUGUAACACCCGAAGUCGGUGAGGUAACCUUUUUGGAGCCAGCCGCCUAAGGUGGGAUAGAUGAUUGGGGUGAAGUCGUAACAAGGUAGCCGUAUCGGAAGGUGCGGCUG
RNAcentral lists this ribosomal RNA (693 nucleotides) under Enterococcus faecalis EnGen0363. RNAcentral's name for it is "bacterial SSU rRNA". It matches the Rfam family "Bacterial small subunit ribosomal RNA", at positions 828 to 1520 of the family's 1533-position model. The record is from RNAcentral. Lineage: Bacteria; Bacillati; Bacillota; Bacilli; Lactobacillales; Enterococcaceae.